Molecule: ribosomal RNA, 468 nt
Filed under: uncultured bacterium
Lineage: Bacteria
Description: partial 16S ribosomal RNA
Rfam family: Bacterial small subunit ribosomal RNA
Source: RNAcentral
GACGAACGCUGGCGGCGUGCUUAACACAUGCAAGUCGAACGGAAAGGCCCUGCUUUUGUGGGGUGCUCGAGUGGCGAACGGGUGAGUAACACGUGAGUAACCUGCCCUUGACUUUGGGAUAACUUCAGGAAACUGGGGCUAAUACCGGAUAGGAGCUCCUGCUGCAUGGUGGGGGUUGGAAAGUUUCGGCGGUUGGGGAUGGACUCGCGGGUUAUCAGCUUGUUGGUGGGGUAGUGGCUUACCAAGGCUUUGACGGGUAGCCGGCCUGAGAGGGUGACCGGCCACAUUGGGACUGAGAUACGGCCCAGACUCCUACGGGAGGCAGCAGUGGGGAAUAUUGCACAAUGGGCGGAAGCCUGAUGCAGCAACGCCGCGUGCGGGAUGACGGCCUUCGGGUUGUAAACCGCUUUCGCCUGUGACGAAGCGUGAGUGACGGUAAUGGGUAAAGAAGCAUCGGCUAACUACGUG